Molecule: ribosomal RNA, 103 nt
Filed under: Pteropus alecto (black flying fox)
Lineage: Eukaryota; Metazoa; Chordata; Mammalia; Chiroptera; Pteropodidae
Source: RNAcentral
GUACACGGCCAUGCCACCCUAAACAAGCCCGAUCCCGUCUGAUCUCGGAAGCUAAGCAGGGUCGGGCCUGGAGACCACCUAGGAAGACCAGGUGCUAUAGGCA